AGCGGUGAAAUUCCAAACGAACUUGGAGAUAGCUGGUUCUCUCCGAAAUAGCUUUAGGGCUAGCCUCGCAAAGAGGAUGCUGGAGGUAGAGCUCUGUUUGGACUAGGGGCCCGUCAAGGGUUACUGAAUUCAGAUAAACUGCGAAUUCCAGACAUUUAUGUGCGGGAGUCAGACUGCGAGUGAUAAGAUCCGUAGUCGAAAGGGAAACAGCCCAGAUCACCAGUUAAGGUCCCAAAAUUCAUGCUAAGUGGAAAAGGAUGUGGAGUUGCGCAGACAACUAGGACGUUGGCUCAGAAGCAGCCAUCAUUCAAAGAGUGCGUAAUAGCUCACUAGUCGAGUGACGCCGCGCCGAAAAUUUACCGGGGCUAAGCAUGAUACCGAAACUGUGGAUGUGCGUUUAUGCACGUGGUAGGAGAGCGUUCUAGCGGCGGUGAAGCAUGACCGAGAGGACAUGUGGAGCUUCUAGAAGUGAGAAUGCCGGUAUGAGUAACGAAAGACAGGUGAGAAUCCUGUCCGCCGCAAGACUAAGGUUUCCUGGGGCAGGCUCGUCCGCCCAGGGUAAGUCGGGACCUAAGGCGAGGCCGAGAGGCGUAGUCGAUGGACAACAGGUUGAAAUUCCUGUACUGCACCGAAUCGUUAUGAGCGAUGGAGGGACGCAGGAGGCUAGCAGCGCGUGGUGCUGGAUACCACGUUCAAGCGUCAAGUCUGAGAGCGAGUCAAAUGCUUGCUCUCAUAAGGACAAGGCGUGAUGAGGAGCGAAAUUAAAGUAGCGAAGGCUGCGACGUCACACUGCCGAGAAAAGCUUCUAGCCAGAGACGGUGCACCCGUACCGCAAACCGACACAGGUAGUCGAGGAGAGUAUCCUCAGGUGAGCGAGAGAACUCUCGUUAAGGAACUCGGCAAAAUGGCCCCGUAACUUCGGGAGAAGGGGCGCUGGUCGCAAGAUCAGCCGCAGUGAAAAGGCCCAAGCAACUGUUUAUCAAAAACACAGGCAUCUGCAAAAUCGUAAGAUGAAGUAUAGGUGCUGACACCUGCCCGGUGCUGGAAGGUUAAGAGGAGAGCUUAGCGCAAGCGAAGGUUUGAAUUGAAGCCCCAGUAAACGGCGGCCGUAACUAUAACGGUCCUAAGGUAGCGAAAUUCCUUGUCGGGUAAGUUCCGACCUGCACGAAAGGUGUAAUGAUUUGGGCACUGUCUCAACGAGAGACUCGGUGAAAUUAUAAUACCCGUGAAGAUGCGGGUUACCCGCGACAGGACGGAAAGACCCCAUGGAGCUUUACUGCAGUUUAAUAUUGGGUAUCUGUCAAGCAUGUACAGGAUAGGUAGGAGCCGGAGAAGAUAGGACGCCAGUCUUAUCAGAGGCGCUGUUGGGAUACUACCCUUGCUUGACGGAUGCUCUAACUCAGG
Molecule: ribosomal RNA, 1404 nt
Filed under: Lactobacillus delbrueckii subsp. bulgaricus
Lineage: Bacteria; Bacillati; Bacillota; Bacilli; Lactobacillales; Lactobacillaceae
Description: partial 23S ribosomal RNA
Rfam family: Bacterial large subunit ribosomal RNA
Source: RNAcentral